AGAGUUUGAUCCUGGCUCAGAACGAACGCUGGCGGCAUGCCUAACACAUGCAAGUCGAACGAUGGCUUCGGCCAUAGUGGCGCACGGGUGAGUAGCGCGUGGGAACCUGCCCUGAGGUACGGAAUAACAGCGGGAAACUGCUGCUAAUACCGUAUGUCCCCUGAGGGGGAAAGAUUUAUCGCCUUAGGAGGGGCCCGCGUCCGAUUAGCUAGUUGGUGAGGUAACGGCUCACCAAGGCUUCGAUCGGUAGCUGGUCUGAGAGGAUGAUCAGCCACACUGGGACUGAGACACGGCCCAGACUCCUACGGGAGGCAGCAGUGGGGAAUAUUGGACAAUGGGGGCAACCCUGAUCCAGCAAUGCCGCGUGGGUGAUGAAGGCCUUCGGGUUGUAAAGCCCUUUCGGCGGGGACGAUGAUGACGGUACCCGCAGAAGAAGCCCCGGCUAACUUCGUG
This 453-nucleotide ribosomal RNA is filed under the name uncultured Rhodospirillaceae bacterium. Its description in RNAcentral is "bacterial SSU rRNA". It matches the Rfam family "Bacterial small subunit ribosomal RNA", at positions 8 to 507 of the family's 1533-position model. The record is from RNAcentral. Lineage: Bacteria; Pseudomonadati; Pseudomonadota; Alphaproteobacteria; Rhodospirillales; Rhodospirillaceae.